UGAACCGGAGCCCACCCAUUCCUCCCCAACCUCCGCGUUUCCUCCUCUGCCCCGAUUCACCUGCCGCCAUGAGCACACCAUGCGCCGCCCACACCGCCGCUCCCGGCCACCGCGCCACCCCACCCCGGAUCCGGCCGUCGCAGCGCCCCCACCCACGGAUCUUGCCGUCGCACCAGCCCGCUCCAACCCCAGCUUUCGGCCACGCGCACGACCCCAUCUAGCGGCGCCACCGCACCGGCCACCAACCAACCUCCGCUCGUCGGGAUAUUGCGGCUGCGCCACAGCCACCCACACGCGUCGCAAGACGCCGGGACCCUGCCACCGCGCGACCUUCCUCCACCUUCCACUGCGACCUUCCUCCACAUGCCACCACGACCUUCUCCCUUCCGCCGUGCGCCAUCGCCUCCGGCGGUUCUGCCUGCAUCACCUCCACCUUCCACUGCCAGCCCCCAUGCGCGGCUCCCUCCAGUUUCCUCCGCGCCCGCCUCCACCUGAACUUCCCCCAUCCCCGCUUCCUCCAGCCCCGACGUCCCCGGUGUCGGCCACGUGCAUCACCCCCAGCCACGCACCUCGUCGGCGAGUGGAGCUCCCGCGCGCUGCCGCGUGGAUGCAGUUACCACUGCCUCCCGGCACGCAGAUCGAGCCAUGGCCGGCGAGGUCGACCACGGCCGCGGCCUGAGCGCCCAUCCAUUCCUCCCCUGCAGCUCCCCCUCCUUCCUCGACGUCGUCACCUGUUGUUGCUUCGACGCCACGAGCUGACCCGUCUCAGGCCGGCGUCCCUGCGCCCCGCCGCUGACCAGCACGAAGAAGCCAGCACACAAUGGUGUCAGCACUGCGGAGGCCGGGAGCUCGCCUGCCUUGAAGAUGAUCUGAAGGACUAUAGCACAAUAUCGUGAAGAGACUGUAAUUGUCGCACGUUCAUAAAGCCCUUGACUCAAGGAUCAAAGAGAAACUAGUUGUUUAAAUAGAGGUGGAGGAAUAUGUGUGUCGAUGCAUGAUUUGAGGCAAGAUCUUUCUUUGUCACUUUGAUCUUCGAAGCAGGGCACUGACGGAUUACUUAUUUACUUCUCUAAACUUAUCAAACAACUGCUACAGGUCCAGUGAUGUAUCGCUGCAGCUCCCGGCGGUCAAUGGUGUUGUUGCGGUGCGGUUGGCUUCACAAUGCACGGCUGAGAGAAGGCAACUAUGCUGACCGGCAAACUGAAUCAGAGGACCGCCGUCAUGGCUCUUCUGGCAUCGGUGCGGUAUUUUUUGGAUUAAUAACUUAAAUAAGGGAGAUGGCAGACUACGUAACAUCAUGAAGGGACAAAAAUCGAGAGAGCCUUAUAUACAUUGAAAAAGACAAUAGAUUUUGAUGUCUGAUGUUGGUUCCUUCCCCCUGUCCUAAAAUUGUAUCCAGAUCAAAUCACUGAUUCGUUUCCCUGUCCAGUUUUGUAUUUUUCUCUAAGUGAUUUUGAUGUCUGAAGUUCAACUGUAUAUGUAGGUGAAAAAACUGGUGUUUUGUCUCAUUGGUUUCAGUUUCACCGACUGGUUUUCUUCCCA
Long non-coding RNA from Triticum dicoccoides, 1542 nucleotides. RefSeq lists it as uncharacterized. The transcript has 2 exons. The record is from RefSeq and is a predicted model, not a curated record. Lineage: Eukaryota; Viridiplantae; Streptophyta; Magnoliopsida; Poales; Poaceae.